Molecule: ribosomal RNA, 715 nt
Filed under: uncultured Bacilli bacterium
Lineage: Bacteria; Bacillati; Bacillota; Bacilli
Description: bacterial SSU rRNA
Rfam family: Bacterial small subunit ribosomal RNA
Source: RNAcentral
GUCGAACGCUUCUUUUUCCACCGGAGCUUGCUCCACCGGAAAAAGAGGAGUGGCGAACGGGUGAGUAACACGUGGGUAACCUGCCCAUCAGAAGGGGAUAACACUUGGAAACAGGUGCUAAUACCGUAUAACAAUCAAAACCGCAUGGUUUUGAUUUGAAAGGCGCUUUCGGGUGUCGCUGAUGGAUGGACCCGCGGUGCAUUAGCUAGUUGGUGAGGUAACGGCUCACCAAGGCCACGAUGCAUAGCCGACCUGAGAGGGUGAUCGGCCACAUUGGGACUGAGACACGGCCCAAACUCCUACGGGAGGCAGCAGUAGGGAAUCUUCGGCAAUGGACGAAAGUCUGACCGAGCAACGCCGCGUGAGUGAAGAAGGUUUUCGGAUCGUAAAACUCUGUUGUUAGAGAAGAACAAGGAUGAGAGUAACUGUUCAUCCCUUGACGGUAUCUAACCAGAAAGCCACGGCUAACUACGUGCCAGCAGCCGCGGUAAUACGUAGGUGGCAAGCGUUGUCCGGAUUUAUUGGGCGUAAAGCGAGCGCAGGCGGUUUCUUAAGUCUGAUGUGAAAGCCCCCGGCUCAACCGGGGAGGGUCAUUGGAAACUGGGAGACUUGAGUGCAGAAGAGGAGAGUGGAAUUCCAUGUGUAGCGGUGAAAUGCGUAGAUAUAUGGAGGAACACCAGUGGCGAAGGCGGCUCUCUGGUCUGUAACUGACGCU